AGCAGCAUGGCGCAGCUGGUAUAGCGCGCAGGGCUCAUAACCCUGAGGCCCCUCGAUCGAAACGAGGUGCUACUA
Vararia minispora EC-137 is the source of this 75-nucleotide non-coding RNA. The record is from the annotation of a GenBank genome assembly. Lineage: Eukaryota; Fungi; Basidiomycota; Agaricomycetes; Russulales; Lachnocladiaceae.